CUACGGGUGGCUGCAGUGAGGAGUAUUGCACAAUGGGGGGAACCCUGAUGCAGCAACGCCGCGUGGAGGAUGACGCAUUUCGGUGUGUAAACUCCUUUUAUAUGUCAAGAAAAUGACGGUAGCAUAUGAAUAAGCACCGGCUAACUCCGUGCCAGCAGCCGCGGUAAUACGGAGGGUGCAAGCGUUACUCGGAAUCACUGGGCGUAAAGGACGCGUAGGCGGGUUGGAAAGUCGGGUGUGAAAUCCUACAGCUUAACUGUAGAACUGCACUUGAAACUUCUAAUCUAGAGUAUGGGAGGGGGAGAUGGAAUUAGUGGUGUAGGGGUAAAAUCCGUAGAUAUCACUAGGAAUACCUAAAGCGAAGGCGAUCUCCUGGAACAUUACUGACGCUAAGGCGUGAAAGCGUGGGGAGCAAACAGGAUUAGAUACCCCAGUAGUC
RNAcentral lists this ribosomal RNA (439 nucleotides) under uncultured bacterium. Its description in RNAcentral is "partial 16S ribosomal RNA". It matches the Rfam family "Bacterial small subunit ribosomal RNA", at positions 339 to 795 of the family's 1533-position model. The record is from RNAcentral.